RNAcentral lists this ribosomal RNA (445 nucleotides) under uncultured bacterium. RNAcentral describes it as "bacterial SSU rRNA". It matches the Rfam family "Bacterial small subunit ribosomal RNA", at positions 330 to 792 of the family's 1533-position model. The record is from RNAcentral.
UCCAGACUCCUACGGGAGGCAGCAGUGGGGAAUAUUGCACAAUGGGGGAAACCCUGAUGCAGCGACGCCGCGUGAGUGAAGAAGUCAUUCGUGAUGUAAAGCUCUCUCAGCAGGGAAGAAAAUGACGGUACCUGACCAAGAAGCCCCGGCUAACUACGUGCCAGCAGCCGCGGUAAUACGUAGGGGGCAAGCGUUAUCCGGAUUUACUGGGUGUAAAGGGAGCGUAGACGGUUGCGCAAGUCUGGAGUGAAAGGCGGGGGCCCAACCCCUGGACUGCUCUGGAAACUGUUGUACUUGAGUGCAGGAGAGGUAAGUGGAAUUCCUAGUGUAGCGGUGAAAUGCGUAGAUAUUAGGAGGAACACCAGUGGCGAAGGCGGCUUACUGGACUGUAACUGACGUUGAGGCUCGAAAGCGUGGGGAGCAAACAGGAUUAGAUACCCUAGUA